AACAGGAUUAGAUACCCUGGUAGUCCAUGCCGUAAACGAUGAGUGCUAAGUGUUGGAGGGUUUCCGCCCUUCAGUGCUGCAGCUAACGCAUUAAGCACUCCGCCUGGGGAGUACGACCGCAAGGUUGAAACUCAAAGGAAUUGACGGGGGCCCGCACAAGCGGUGGAGCAUGUGGUUUAAUUCGAUGCUACGCGAAGAACCUUACCAGGUCUUGACAUCUUCUGCCAACCUAAGAGAUUAGGCGUUCCCUUCGGGGACAGAAUGACAGGUGGUGCAUGGUUGUCGUCAGCUCGUGUCGUGAGAUGUUGGGUUAAGUCCCGCAACGAGCGCAACCCUUAUUGUUAGCUGCCAGCAUUCAGUUGGGCACUCUAGCAAGACUGCCGGUGACAAACCGGAGGAAGGUGGGGAUGACGUCAAAUCAUCAUACCCCUUAUGACCUGGGCUACACACGUGCUACAAUGGACGGUACAACGAGUCGCGAAACCGCGAGGUCAAGCUAAUCUCUUAAAGCCGUUCUCAGUUCGGAUUGUAGGCUGCAACUCGCCUACAUGAAGUUGGAAUCGCUAGUAAUCGUGGAUCAGCAUGCCACGGUGAAUACGUUCCCGGGCCUUGUACACACCGCCCGUCACACCAUGAGAGUUUGUAACACCCAAAGCCGGUGAGGUAACCUUCGGGGACCAGCCGUCUAANGUGGGACAGAUGAUUAGGGUGAAGUCGUAACAAGGUAACCA
This 731-nucleotide ribosomal RNA is filed under the name uncultured Lactobacillus sp. RNAcentral describes it as "bacterial SSU rRNA". It matches the Rfam family "Bacterial small subunit ribosomal RNA", at positions 771 to 1502 of the family's 1533-position model. The record is from RNAcentral. Lineage: Bacteria; Bacillati; Bacillota; Bacilli; Lactobacillales; Lactobacillaceae.